This is a long non-coding RNA of Culicoides brevitarsis, 520 nucleotides long. RefSeq lists it as uncharacterized. Lineage: Eukaryota; Metazoa; Arthropoda; Insecta; Diptera; Ceratopogonidae. The transcript is spliced from 5 exons. The record is from RefSeq and is a predicted model, not a curated record.
UCAAUCGUCGUGCAGGAUGGACGUGUUCCGGGAUUUUUCGUCAAAAAUUAAAAUAUUUGAAGCCAUUUUUGAGCUUGGAACUGCUAAAAGCGUCAGUUGAUGAGAAAUUGGCGUGAAGCAGAAAUGGAACUUCAAGGAUGAAAAUUGAGCUUUAAAGAUCGAUUUUUAUCGAGCCCAGGUCUUCCGCUUGAGAGCUACAGUGGUCGAAUUGCAUGCGAAUUUCUGAAAAAUGGUAAAAGAUGUUGAAAUUGCUCAUUGUUGAAUGCUAGGUGAUUAAUUCAGAACAAAGUCAAGCAUAGAAACCAAAUAGACCAGGAGGAAAUGACUAAAAAUCAAAAAAGGUAAUUUUUUUGCCCAUGUAAAUUAUUUCAGAAAUAUUUUUUCGACUAUUUUCCCAAAAUUUUAACUUUAAAUGAUGAUAAAAAGCAAAAAAGUCACAGCUUGUAAUGAAAAACUUUGAUUAAAAAUUUGCUGCCUCUUCUGAAGAACUUUCCUAAAAGCCUUAAAACGUUGAAAUUUU